Molecule: non-coding RNA, 322 nt
Organism: Erinaceus europaeus (western European hedgehog)
Lineage: Eukaryota; Metazoa; Chordata; Mammalia; Eulipotyphla; Erinaceidae
Source: Rfam
GGAUGUGAGGGCAUUCUGGUUGUGUCAUCUGUCACCCCACUGAUCAGCAGGAUUGAUUCGGUUUAUCUGGCUGGCUAGUGGGGGUGUCCCCUUCCUCCCUUAACACUCCAUGUGUGUCCCUCUCGAAGCUGCAUGCUCAGUCAAAGAAGACGGCCUUCCCAUAUUCCCCGAACAGAGAUAGACUAGUCUUUGGUAGAGGGUAGCUGCGCUCCCCUGCUAGAACCUCCAAACAAGCUCUUGAGACUUUAAGUUAAUAGGAGUAUAUAUUAACACCAUUCCUGCCACCAUAUCUCUGAAAUUCUUUGGUCAGACUGUGAUAUUG